Long non-coding RNA from Cynoglossus semilaevis (tongue sole), 400 nucleotides. RefSeq lists it as uncharacterized. NCBI's taxonomy places the organism in Eukaryota, Metazoa, Chordata, Actinopteri, Pleuronectiformes, Cynoglossidae. The transcript is spliced from 3 exons. The record is from RefSeq and is a predicted model, not a curated record.
ACAUUAUCCUAAAUAAAAAAAAAACCGAAAUAAUAUUCAGGCUCCUCCCAAAUUAACAAGUGCCUUUUUCAUUUUUAACACCAGGUCACCAUGACAUCAUUUGUCCUCCUGGUGGUGCUGUUGUUAGAGAUCAAGGAGACGACUAACAGAUGACUUCAGCGCAGGAGACCAGAAGAUGAGAUAAGACAAAGACCAACCCGAUGUGAAGAUCCACUCUGAGCUGCAGGAUCGCAGCUGUGUCCACGUCACUGACCAACUGAAGACCAACAGCAGAAGAUUCCAUAGGCUUCUGUUAACCAUCAGCAAUUAUCUCCCUGUCAGAGCUAAAGGUAACAAAUUUCCCUCCCCUCCCACCACCGCCCACACCCCCACUAUCAUCCUCUGGACACCAGCAUCAACU